Molecule: ribosomal RNA, 1629 nt
Filed under: Listeria monocytogenes
Lineage: Bacteria; Bacillati; Bacillota; Bacilli; Caryophanales; Listeriaceae
Description: partial 23S ribosomal RNA
Rfam family: Bacterial large subunit ribosomal RNA
Source: RNAcentral
UUGGUUAAGUUAGAAAGGGCGCACGGUGGAUGCCUUGGCACUAGGAGCCGAAGAAGGACGGGACUAACACCGAUAUGCUUUGGGGAGCUGUACGUAAGCGUUGAUCCAGAGAUUUCCGAAUGGGGGAACCCACUAUCUUUAGUCGGAUAGUAUCCUUACGUGAAUACAUAGCGUGAGGAAGGCAGACCCAGGGAACUGAAACAUCUAAGUACCUGGAGGAAGAGAAAGAAAAAUCGAUUUCCUGAGUAGCGGCGAGCGAAACGGAAAGAGCCCAAACCAAGAAGCUUGCUUCUUGGGGUUGUAGGACACUCUAUACGGAGUUACAAAAGAAAGUUAUAAAUGAAGCGGUCUGGAAAGGCCCGCCAAAGACGGUAACAGCCCGGUAGUUGAAAUGGCUUUCCCUCCAGAGUGGAUCCUGAGUACGGCGGAACACGUGAAAUUCCGUCGGAAUCCGGGAGGACCAUCUCCCAAGGCUAAAUACUCCCUAGUGACCGAUAGUGAACCAGUACCGUGAGGGAAAGGUGAAAAGCACCCCGGAAGGGGAGUGAAACAGUUCCUGAAACCGUGUGCCUACAAGUAGUUAGAGCCCGUUAAUGGGUGAUAGCGUGCCUUUUGUAGAAUGAACCGGCGAGUUACGAUUUGUUGCAAGGUUAAGCGGAAAAAGCGGAGCCGUAGCGAAAGCGAGUCUGAAUAGGGCGCAUAAGUAACAGGUCGUAGACCCGAAACCAGGUGAUCUACCCAUGUCCAGGAUGAAGGUAAGGUAAUACUUACUGGAGGUCCGAACCCACGCACGUUGAAAAGUGCGGGGAUGAGGUGUGGGUAGCGGAGAAAUUCCAAUCGAACUUGGAGAUAGCUGGUUCUCUCCGAAAUAGCUUUAGGGCUAGCCUCGAGGUAAAGAGUCAUGGAGGUAGAGCACUGUUUGGACUAGGGGCCCUUCUCGGGUUACCGAAUUCAGAUAAACUCCGAAUGCCAUGUACUUAUACUCGGGAGUCAGACUGCGAGUGAUAAGAUCCGUAGUCGAAAGGGAAACAGCCCAGACCACCAGUUAAGGUCCCCAAAUAUAUGUUAAGUGGAAAAGGAUGUGGGGUUGCUUAGACAACCAGGAUGUUGGCUUAGAAGCAGCCACCAUUGAAAGAGUGCGUAAUAGCUCACUGGUCGAGUGACCCCGCGCCGAAAAUGUACCGGGGCUAAACAUAUUACCGAAACUGUGGAUGAACCUCUUUAGAGGUUCGUGGUAGGAGAGCGUUCUAAGGGCGGUGAAGUCAGACCGGAAGGACUGGUGGAGCGCUUAGAAGUGAGAAUGCCGGUAUGAGUAGCGAAAGAAGGGUGAGAAUCCCUUCCACCGAAUAUCUAAGGUUUCCUGAGGAAGGCUCGUCCGCUCAGGGUUAGUCGGGACCUAAGCCGAGGCCGAUAGGCGUAGGCGAUGGACAACAGGUAGAGAUUCCUGUACCAGUGCUAAUUGUUUAACCGAUGGGGUGACACAGAAGGAUAGGGAAUCGCACGAAUGGAAAUGUGCGUCCAAGCAGUGAGUGUGAGAAGUAGGCAAAUCCGCUUCUCGCGAAGCAUGAGCUGUGAUGGGGAAGGAAAUUAAGUACGGAAGUUCCUGAUUUCACGCUGUCAAGAAAAGCC